RNAcentral lists this ribosomal RNA (845 nucleotides) under Thyronectria cucurbitula. Its description in RNAcentral is "LSU rRNA". It matches the Rfam family "Eukaryotic large subunit ribosomal RNA", at positions 61 to 939 of the family's 3401-position model. Lineage: Eukaryota; Fungi; Ascomycota; Sordariomycetes; Hypocreales; Nectriaceae. The record is from RNAcentral.
GAAACCAACAGGGAUUGCCCUAGUAACGGCGAGUGAAGCGGCAACAGCUCAAAUUUGAAAUCUGGCCCUCGUGGUCCGAGUUGUAAUUUGUAGAGGAUGCUUUUGGUGCGGUGCCUUCCGAGUUCCCUGGAACGGGACGCCAUAGAGGGUGAGAGCCCCGUCUGGUUGGACACCAAUCCUCUGUAAAGCUCCUUCGACGAGUCGAGUAGUUUGGGAAUGCUGCUCUAAAUGGGAGGUAAAUGUCUUCUAAAGCUAAAUACCGGCCAGAGACCGAUAGCGCACAAGUAGAGUGAUCGAAAGAUGAAAAGCACUUUGAAAAGAGGGUUAAAUAGUACGUGAAAUUGUUGAAAGGGAAGCGUUUGUGACCAGACUUGGGCUUGGUUAAUCAUCCAGCGUUCUCGCUGGUGCACUUUGCCAGCCCAGGCCAGCAUCAGUUCGCUGCGGGGGAUAAAAGCUUCGGGAACGUGGCUCUUCGGAGUGUUAUAGCCCGCUGCAUAAUACCCUGUGGCGGACUGAGGUUCGCGCAUCUGCAAGGAUGCUGGCGUAAUGGUCAUCAACGACCCGUCUUGAAACACGGACCAAGGAGUCGUCUUCGUAUGCGAGUGUUCGGGUGUCAAACCCCUACGCGUAAUGAAAGUGAACGGAGGUGGGAGCCUCGGCGCACCAUCGACCGAUCCUGAAGUUUACGGAUGGAUUUGAGUAAGAGCAUACGGGGCCGGACCCGAAAGAAGGUGAACUAUGCCUGUAUAGGGUGAAGCCAGAGGAAACUCUGGUGGAGGCUCGCAGCGGUUCUGACGUGCAAAUCGAUCGUCAAAUAUGGGCAUGGGGGCGAAAGACUAAUCGAA